RNAcentral lists this ribosomal RNA (446 nucleotides) under uncultured bacterium. Its description in RNAcentral is "SSU rRNA". It matches the Rfam family "Bacterial small subunit ribosomal RNA", at positions 26 to 518 of the family's 1533-position model. The record is from RNAcentral.
AGAGCGAACGCUGGCGGCAGGCCUAAUACAUGCAAGUCGAACGGACCCUUCGGGGUUAGUGGCGGACGGGUGAGUAACACGUGGGAACGUGCCCUUUGGUUCGGAACAACUCAGGGAAACUUGAGCUAAUACCGAAUGUGCCCUUCGGGGGAAAGAUUUAUCGCCAUUGGAGCGGCCCGCGUCUGAUUAGCUAGUUGGUGAGGUAAAGGCUCACCAAGGCUACGAUCAGUAGCUGGUCUGAGAGGAUGAUCAGCCACACUGGGACUGAGACACGGCCCAGACUCCUACGGGAGGCAGCAGUAGGGAAUCUUGCGCAAUGGGCGAAAGCCUGACGCAGCCAUGCCGCGUGAAUGAUGAAGGUCUUAGGAUUGUAAAAUUCUUUCAGCGGGGACGAUAAUGACGGUACCCGCAGAAGAAGCCCCGGCUAACUUCGUGCCAGCAGCCGC